Oryctolagus cuniculus (rabbit) is the source of this 81-nucleotide small nucleolar RNA. NCBI's taxonomy places the organism in Eukaryota, Metazoa, Chordata, Mammalia, Lagomorpha, Leporidae. The record is from Ensembl.
ACUCACAGUGACGGCCGCCCAGGGCUCCCCGACCCACGCAGGCCUCUGCCGGGGGUGACGCCAGUCCUGGUGUCAGUGAUU